AUUGAACGCUGGCGGGAUGCUUUACACAUGCAAGUCGAACGGCAGCGCGGACUUCGGUCUGGCGGCGCGUGGCGAACGGGGGAGGAAUGUAUCGGAACGUGCCCAGUAGCGGGGGAUAACUACGCGUAAGCGAAACUAAUACCGCAUACGCCCUACGGGGGAAAGCAGGGGAUCGUAAGACUUUGCACUAUUGGAGCGGCCGAUAUCGGAUUAGCUAGUUGGUGUGGUAACGGCUCACCAAGGCGACGAUCCGUAGCUGGUUUGAGAGGACGACCAGCCACACUGGAACUGAGACACGGCCCAGACUCCUACGGGAGGCAGCAGUGGGGAAUUUUGCACAAUGGGGGCAACCCUGAUCCAGCCAUCCCGCGUGUGUGAUGAAGGCCUUCGGGUUGUAAAGCACUUUUGGCAGGAAAGAAACGUCGCGGGCUAAUACCCCGUGGAACUGACGGUACCUGCAGAAUAAGCACCGGCUAACUACGUG
This 484-nucleotide ribosomal RNA is filed under the name uncultured bacterium. Its description in RNAcentral is "partial 16S ribosomal RNA". It matches the Rfam family "Bacterial small subunit ribosomal RNA", at positions 30 to 507 of the family's 1533-position model. The record is from RNAcentral.